UACGAGGGGGGCAAGCGUUGUUCGGAAUUACUGGGCGUAAAGGGCGCGUAGGCGGCCUGCUAAGUCGAACGUGAAAUCCCUGGGCUCAACCCAGGAACUGCGUCCGAUACUGGUUUGGCUUUGAAUCCGGGAGAGGGAUGUGGAAUUCCAGGUGUAGCGGUGAAAUGCGUAGAUAUCUGGAGGAACACCGGUGGCGAAGGCGACAUCCUGGACCGGUAUUUGACGCUGAGGCGCGAAAGCCAGGGGAGCAAACGGG
This 256-nucleotide ribosomal RNA is filed under the name uncultured bacterium. RNAcentral's name for it is "partial 16S ribosomal RNA". It matches the Rfam family "Bacterial small subunit ribosomal RNA", at positions 524 to 776 of the family's 1533-position model. The record is from RNAcentral.